This is a long non-coding RNA of Alexandromys fortis (reed vole), 11648 nucleotides long. RefSeq lists it as uncharacterized. Lineage: Eukaryota; Metazoa; Chordata; Mammalia; Rodentia; Cricetidae. The transcript is spliced from 3 exons. The record is from RefSeq and is a predicted model, not a curated record.
CCGUUAACCAACUAUCUACCUGUCAGCCCUGGGUUUUUAAAACUUGAGGUAUGCGUGUGGGCUUUUUUUUUUUUUUUUACUGCAACACUAACCGGCUUGUGAAGGAUUGACUCUCUGACCGCCAGAUAGCUUGGCGCGUGUGCACGCGCACAAAAACCUUAAAAAAAAAAAAAAAAGCCUACCUUAAGCAAUUUCAAGAGAGCAGCCCUUAAAUACUACUUGCAUAAUGGUAGAGCCUGAAUUAAAUAUCCACAUGUCUGCGGACAUCUCCGUAUCUCCACGAGCAUCACCAGCCUUCUCUGCACUGAUGGACAGGUAUUUACAAACUGCAAGUUUAGACAGGGAUGUUCACGGGCAUGUCUUACUGUCAGCGAUACAUACUUGCUCUACUAAACAGACACUAGGACUCCUGACCACAGCUGUCGUUUGUCCACUGGCCUGCCAGCACCAACGCCCAUUUCUUAAGUAUCACACGUGAGCUGGGUUCAUUGUUAGCAGCUGGACCUCCAAAGCAGAACAGCGAACUUAAGCUCACAAUAAAUGGAACGACUUCUUUUACUCUGUAAAAGAAACUACAGAUUCAGCUGGAAAGAACAGGGGAAGAAUCUGUGACAUUCAUCAUGGCUCCAGGCAAAGCCUCGACUUUUGUCAUCCAAGAAUCCCAGUUUGCUCUGUUUUCUGGGGCCCCACCUCCAGACCCUAGCCUCCAAUCUUCAGUUAUGUACACUAAAAGGAGGCAGAGAACUGCAGAGCUGUGCAACUUCCUUGAAGACAGAAAGCAACCAAGACACUGCAUUCACUCUCCAUGUUCACUUCCCAUUUGCUGACAGCCACGUCGAUGUCGAAGCAGAUCUGGAGUAAAGUUCGCAAGUGUGGUCCCCAGACUAAAACCCUGGGGCCUUCUGUUAUUAGAGAUGAAGAAGAGAAUGGAUUCUAGGGAUCAGAGCACAGGAUAAGGUGUGUUACCUAAAGGGCAGGAUUAAGGGGGUGUUCACGCUCGGGUUUUCCCUUGCUGCUGAAGCAUGAAGGUGUUUGUUGCAUGCAGGGUACCUCCCUUGACCUUCUCUAGUUUUGCCCUGGCUGUGGGCUAGUAGCUGCCUUGGUGGCCCUUUAGUUGUAAAGGAGCAUGUAACACUUAAUUCACAGUCUGACUCGGGGUCCAUGCACUGGGGAGGAAGCACUUAACCCCAAAGAAAUUUGAGCUGGUACAAAUAGAAUAAAUAUAAGGUAGGUAACCAGAAAAAAAUAAGAUUGAUUACAAAUAAAUUUAUGAUUUCAAAAUUUAGAACCUAGCACCAUGGGUUUGAGAAAAGUUCUGUAAUUACAAUUAUAGCUUCCCGUAUUUUUUAAAUACUAGAUUCUUUUUUAAAAAGUUCUUUCAUGAGUCUUUGAGACUCAAUGUAUUAUUGUAUUCACCAGGUUUAAGCACACAGUCCCCUGUAUGGACACUCACACUAUGAUGGAGUUUAUGGAGCUAGUACAUGGGCACGGGCAUGGUGACAGGUGGCUUUCAUUAGUGUCACUGGAUUUGUGCUGAUUCUGCAAAAGAAAGGCAAUUCAGCAACAACCAAAGAUUACAUCAAGAGCCGGUGAGAUAAGAGCAGAUAAACCGAAAACAUAAAUAACUAAUUUGAUAAAUUUAAAACUGCUGUGUUUAUCUAGAGGUCAUUUUAGUGUCUAGAAUGUAUGGAAGAACCUAGUAGUUUAUGCUUAAUGUUGCCAGUAUUCCAGGUGCCCUUCCUGUGCCCUGGGUAGAGUUGAUUACAAUUCCAAGAGUGCUUAAUAUUCUAAUCAAAGAUUUCUAUUUUUAUUGUAAUUAAAAAUUUAAAUUUAUUUAUUUUAUCUGUAUAGGUAUUUUGUCAGCAUGUAUGUGUGUGCCUGGUGUCCACAGAGCUGAGAAGUGGCCCUGGGAUCCCCUGGGCCUGGAGUAACAGACAGUUGUGAGCCAUGUGUGUGCUGGGAGCCAAACAUGGGUCCUCAAGAGCAGCCAGUGCUCUUAACUACUGACCCAUGUCUCCAGCCACGAGGAGUUCCGUCUUAAGACAAAACAGAAAUCACAACAUAAAACAUAUACUAUGCUGAGGAGGAGAAGUGUUUUAGAUUCUGAGAGGUAAAGUAAUUAGUAACAACAUGUAAACAUCUGUGAACCUGGAUAGAAAGAGUAGCAUCAAAGUGAACAAACCCGGAAUUGCGAGACGGCUCCUUUGGAAGCCAUGCUAAUGUGAAGAUCUACUUGAGUUUGAAUCCUCAGAAUCUGUGUGGAAGAGUUGGGCAUAGUAAUUCAAGAGUCUUCAACCCCCACGCUCCUGGGGAGAGGGGGAGUAAAGACAAGAUACGAGAAUUCCUAGAAGCUUGGCAGCCAGUUAGGCUGGCACAUACAUCAGGAGAGCAACAGAGUCCCUGUUAAACAAGACUGAAGAUGACAGACCCCCAAGGCUGUCCUCUGACCCCCCACAGGAACACUAUGUAUGUGUCUACAUUCACACAGAUGAGUGUGCACCUAGUGUGGUUGGUGGUGCAAGCAGUUAAUCCCAACACUUGGGAGGCAAAGGCAGGUGAGUCUCUGUGAGUUGGAGGCCAGCCUGGGCUAAGUAGCAAGUUCGAGGCUAGUUGGGGCAAUGUAGUGAAACCUAGUCUCAGUCAAUCAAAUGUAACAAAAGAACGUGUACUUGCAAUCACCACACACUGCAGACAGUACUAAUCAUUCUACAUAUUUUUUAAGGUCUUAACUGCAAGCAUCUUUCAUAUAUUGUAUCAAUAACUCUCAGAAGGAAGGGACCUUCAUUUUCUCAUGUUUCUGAUUGCUUAAUGGAAUUAUCACAACACAUACACACACAGAUGAACAUAGACACACGUGGACUCAUACACACAUGCACGUAUAUUCAAAUAUUUUAGACAAGAAUUUCAGAAAGUUUAUCAGGAAAAAUUUUCCCAGGUUAUUAAAAAAAAAGCUAUUUCAGAGAGGUUGAAAAUGGGCAAGAGUAGCUAGCUAUAACACACCCACCAGAGAAUUCUGUCCAAUUGUGAAUUGCAAUUGGGUGAGGUAAAAAACUUUUCCUCUCUCGUUGCCAUCUAUGAGACUUUACAAGCUUGUCGGAGGCCUUCUGUGGUUGCAGUUAAUCCAUUUUAUCUGUUAACAUUUCUUAAUGGGAAUAAAAGUAACAUAAAGGGAGGCUCUGAAGAGGGUUUAAACACUUAGUACUGGAAACUCAUUUAGCAUCUUUCUAAUUGCCGGCAUUCUCGUCUCUAUUCUCAGCCCACUUAAUUCAUUUGUGGGUCCCCGUUGACAGGCUAGCGCAUCUACUGGGAGCCCUUGGUGGAGGGCCUUAGUCUGCACCACCGUUCUGCUUCCUAUAAUGAGAGGGCUGAGCAGGCAGGACUCGUUAGGCGUCUUUCUCAUCUGCUGGGACCUUAAUUAUUCAGCAGUUGGUUGGCUCUUUGAGGACUAGGCAGCUUUCAUUUCCACUCUCUCGCCCCCGCAGAUGCCAGCUUUGCCGCUGCACAGAUCGUUAGCACAUCUGCCGAGGGCAGUUGGGGACAGAGCCGCAUGGUGGAUCCCAUUGUCCACUCGUUUGCUACGUCUCACCUCACUUAAGAAAACCUUGAAGGGCAGAGGGGAUUGACGCACACAAGUGUAAGUCACCGGCUGGGGGUUUUAAGAUCCCCAUUAGCCAUGCUAUUUCUUGUUCUUCAAAAACGAAAAUGUCUGCACACGUUCUUGAAGUGUUAAAAUAGGGACAUAGUCGUGGCCAUGUAACAAUGUAAUGGAUGCCGCUCUAUUAUCCUACAGAAAAUCCCACCAAUUCCAUGCUCUAUAGAAGUUUGUGAAACCCUCUCCCCUUUGUUUCUCUUGACCUUGAUUUUUUUUUUCUCAAGAGGACAGGUAAGAUUUUCUGUAACUGUUAUUCCAUUGGGUGAUUUUUUUUUUUCGGUUUACUUACAUGUACACACAAAAACAUUUCCAACUCAGGACAUAAUAAAUCUACAGUGAAGAACUUGGGAAAGGAAGACACAGGGAAAAGAAUUAAACAAGAGAAAAAUGAAUGUAAUGCUUUCUUUGAGAUGUAUCUUAUAUCAAAAUUUUCUUUCAGAAGUUGAAGAGUAAGUAAAAUUUUAUUUUCUCUGUAUUGUUGAAUGAACCUAGGGCCUCCCUCAUUUUAGGCAAGUUUCAGGGGUUCUGCUGCGGUGACAAAACCCCAUGACCAAAAGCAGCUUGGAGAAGAAAGGCUUCCUUUCAUCUUGCAGUUUUUAGUCCAUCAUCUAGGAAAGCCAGGGCAGGAACUCAAGACAGGAACAGAAGCAAUGGCCGUGGAGGAGUGCUGCUUGCUGGCUCGCUUUCCGUGGCUUGCUGUCUGUUUUCUUACAGCAUCCAGGACAACCUGCCAAGGGUCACACUGCUCAUGAGCAGGGACAAGCCACACCAAUCAUCAAUCCAGAAAAUGCUCUGUAGGCUUACCCAAAGGCCGAUGUGGUUCUUACUUCUUCCUGUGUGGUUCUAGCUUUUGUCAAAUUGCCGUUAAAAUCUAGCUGCCACAGUCAGCUGGCUGCCACUGCGCUAUACCCAUUCCGUAUUCACUUUCUAUUUUGAAACAGGUCUCACUAAGUUGGCUGGAAGUGAACUCUCCAAGCUGAAACAAGCCUGUUUGCAACCCUCAUGCCUCAGCCUCCUCAGAUCCAGGCUACAAUGACAAUCCCAGACCACUAGACCCAGCUCAAGUGAGGAAUUACGCUUCACAUUGUGAUAAGUAGCUAAUUUAAUACAGAACCUAAUGCUACCGUUUGUUAUUUUAGCAUGCAUUAUCAAUAGUAGCUAAUAUAAUAAACUGUCCUUUUAUAAACAACUAUUUUAAAAGAACUAGGAAAUCACAGGGGAAAUAGCAUCUCAUGUUACAAAAUGGAGGCAUGGACCAUACCUGAGUGAGGAUAUCAGAAAUUAUAGGCCGGAUAUGGCGGUGCCUGCCCAGCUCUCAGGACAUUGAGGUAGAGUUGGAAGUUGAAGGCCACGCUGGGCUAUAUGAGGAUAUCCUAGCUCAAAAAUCUAAAACAAUAACAACAAAGCCUAAUUUUCUAAGAAUAAUUUCCUUCGAAUAAUUCAUACAGAAUCAUUGAAAAAUGUUCAAAAUCUUCAACAACGGUGUCGGUGGAGGGGUCAAAUGAACACAGCACACCAUUACAAUGGAAUUUUCCGGUAAGUGUUCACGGCCAAGAAAUGACUUCAUGAUGAUGUGAGUGAAAAAGAACAAAGCCAAAACUUCUUCGUGACUCCAGUUUAGCAGUUCCAGCCUCCAGUGGAGAGAAUGCAUGCCUAGACACACACACAUACACACGCGUGUGCACACACAACACUCACACAUUCAUGCAUGCACGUGCACACACAGACACGCACCACAGAAACAGUGAGAGAAAGUCAACACCAAUGAAGAGUUAACUAACAGGGAUUAUAUCUAGAACAUGGUAUUAAACAAUUCUCUGUGUUUUUCUUAUUUUGUGUAUUUUGCAUAAUAAUUGCUUCUUAUAUUUAAAAGGUAUAACAACACUGAUAAAAUCCUCUUCUCAUUCUGCAUAUUUUUAUGUAUGAAUGCAUGCACAUGUUAACGCCUGCUGCAGAGAUUUGGUCAUAUAUCUUCCAGAGAACUAAAUUUCCUUGAAGAAGGAAGUCUUGUUUUUCCUAGCACACAGUGUCAAAAAGCGUUUCUUAACUUUCACACCUUCAUGAAACACUCAGAAAAAUUCACAAUUCGCCGAGCACCCAGCUGUCAGAGCACGUGUCCCAUAUUCCAAGUGUUAACGUUUGCCACACUUUUCUGUCGUUUACCAUCUGUCAAUAUCUGUCUGUCUGUCUGUCUGCUACUGGUCUGAACACUCACUGCUUCUGUGAGUUCACCUUUUAGACUCCACCUAUGAGAUCAUACUGUCUUUACCUUGUUUCACUUAUCACAGUGUACUCUGAAGUCUGUCUGUCUACGCUGUUGCAGACGUCAUAUGCUCUUAUUCCCUAACUUGCCUUGUGUGACUGCCUUCUGGCCAAGCAACUGCCAUCUUGGGGUGUCUAUCUGCCUCCCCCCACUUUACAAAAGAUCAUCUCAACUGGGUGUUGAUAGUGUGCACCCCCACAUAGAGGGGCAAUAAGGCGUGAGACUCUUACCUGAGAACCCAGCCACUCCCUCCCACCCAGCACCACUGUGUGUGGUCUGGGGAAGGCAAUGGAGUGUAUAGAGACCUAGGAAGACUAGAGCUGGGGCUGUAUCUAUGCAACUAGGGAGUAGCUCUCUGUUUGGUAAAUUCUUCCAGGUACGGCCAGUUGGAAAAGGAGUGCCCAUACCCCCUGCAAGUAGCCUCCCACCCUAGGCUCUAUAAAGAAGCCUAAUAAAUUCACUGGCUGCCCAGAGCGAACUUUGAUGGAAUCUUGCCAUGGUUUAUAGUAGCAACCCUGGGAGGAGGGAUAGACAUUGAUAGAUAUUCUUCCUUUGGGAAGGAAUUUUAGCAACAUAAGUAUUUAAAAUUUUCUGGUUCUUCUAAAGUUAUCACAGCUAUUACCUACAAGUUUGGAUAUUUAAAUUUAUUUUGUGCAAUUUUAAAUAUCAACUUUCUAUGUUGUUGUAGGUCUUUUUGUUCUUGUGUCUUCUUAACUGCAUUUUGAAAUAAUUAAUCGGUAAUGUUUUGUAAGGUUGUGUGAUGUGCACUAAUCCCUGAAGAUCAACAAUCACAUUCUUUGAUUUCUACCAUUUCAGAAUCAUUUUAAAAAUAUAAUUAUUUCUUUAUGUCUUUAUUUUUGUUUUUUUGGAUUUUGUGUGUCUGGUUGUUUCACCUACAGGGUUGUCUGUACACCACACAUGUGCAGUGUCCCCAGUGGCCAGAAGAGGGCGUCAGAUCCCUUGUGAAUGGAGUAAAAGAUGGUUGUGAGCUGCCCCCAGGUCCUCUGAAGAGCAGCCAGUGCUCUUAACCACAGAGCCAUCACUGCCCCUGUGGUUACUUUAACUCUUAAAUUACGCAGGUUUGUAGUUUGUCAUUCCAAACACAAUUUUACGUCUUUGUUUCAUGGUUUCUUAACUUUGCAUUUUGUAAGAACUAGACUUAUUGGUGAUCUAUUUGUAAGGUUUUCUGGUGUAUACAAAUCCCUGGAAGCCCAAUACCCAGAUUUUUCGAUUUCUGUCAUUCCAGAAAACCAUGUAGAUCAUGCAUCAUUGCUUACCUCGAGUCUCAGUGUCUUUCUCUGUGCAAAGAUCAAUGUCCCACAAAGCCACAUCACGACCAUCAAACUAAAGAAGCGAGCAUGAAUUAGAUCAGCAUCACUGUCUGUCUAACUACAGGUUCCACUCAAAUAGCAGCUAUCCGAGUAGUGUCCACUGUGAGUCAUGCGGCUGGACCAUGGCAGUCCAUCAGGAAUCAUGUGAUAUAGUUAUUUUACAUGCUGCUUGGGUCCCUUUCUUGGGUCCCUCGAAACCUUUUAUCAGUCUCUCUCUCUGGUUCCUGAUUGGGUUAAAUGAGAUAAUAUAUAUUGUUCUUUCACCACUGGCAAUGACGAAUUAGAAAUUAUUUUGUAAGAAGCCCCCAGUAGGGGCUGGAGAAAAGGCUAAAAUCAUUGGCUGCUCUCUCAGAGGACACAGGUUCAAUCCCCAGCACCCACAUGGAAGUUCGCAACUGUCUGUAACUCCAGUUCCAGGGAAUCUGGCACCCUCGUGCAUAUGAGCUGGCAAAAUACAAAUACACAUAAAAUAAUAAUAAAUAAAUAUUUUUUAAAAAAUGUUUUCAGCUUGGUUUUGUCUAAUGCUUCCUCAUGCUUUAUGGUUUUCUAAACAAAAUAACAAAAAUCAACAAUAUAAUGUAAGCACUGUUGUGGUCUCUUUGGAGCAUUGGAACAAGACCUGUCUGAUGUCACUUUGUCUUUUUCCCUUUGUUUUCAAACAGGGUCUUAUGUCUACGAGGCUAGCCUCAAACAUCCUGUCCAGUCAGUUUUCCACAGUGGAGCACAAUGCCACACUGGGUUCAAGUGGUGCUGAGGUCACGGGCACACCAGCCGAGGCCUCUACCAGCUGGGCAACUUCCUGAGCCCCAUCCGUUUGCCUUUUAUCUCAUGCUAUUAAUGUUGAAAACUUGGUUAAGAUGGCAUAUUUCAGUUUGUUCACUUUAAAAUAAAUCACAAGCAUGCUAUCGUUGAUCAAUAAGCAAUUAAAAAUGAUCCGAAACAGUAAACAUCCCAUUCCUCAUCAACUUGAAAGCACCAGGCUUUGCAUUUUUAAUUAUUCUUGUCCAUGCCAAUCAUUACUGUAAUUGUUGCAUUUUGCCAGCACUUUGUAGAGCACAGCAUUUCACAACAAAAUGGAAACUUUCUUGCCUGCCAAUCCACUAGUGUCCCCACGGACUGACUCUUCCACCAGCUCGCUGGAUAGCCUACUUUCAGCUCUGUCUUCUAGUCACCUUUCUGACUCAGCAUGUUCUCAGCUUUCCCAGUCAUUGGGAACUGCUUGAGACCAAUUUGAGUGGACAAGCUGAAGCCUUGCCAGCACUAGGGAGGAGCAGCUUCACUGAACCGGAUUCAGCCUCUCUGUUCAUGUGGCCCCAUUAUUAUGGUCCCUUGAGCCUCUCUAUCCCAGAAUGGUAUUCUUGCUUUGGUGAUGGAGCUGGUCGUUUCUUCAAGAAGUCCUGCUUUCUCUUGCUGUGGAAUGAUUUCUAGAAAACUAAGUCUGGCCAGAUGUGGUAGUACAUGCUUUAAUCCCAGCACUUGGGAGGUGGAGACAAGACCCCUAUUGGUUUGAGGCCAGCCUGGUCUACAUAGCAAGAGCCUGUCUCAGAAAACAAGGAAACAAAAACAGAACAAAACUUAAACCUGGGCACGAGCUGUGUUCAUAGUUGAGAAGAUUUCUUUACUUCUUGGGCCUCCCAAGGACUGCACUAGGAAAUUGGAAAUUUUGGUGUGUGUGUGUGUGUGUGUGUGUGUGUGUGUACACAGCUAGCUAUGCCUACAACCACACACACACACACACACACAACUGUUUCUUUCACUAUAUCUAUUUCUACUUACAUACUGAUCUACUAUGAGUUACCAUUUCCUUAAAGCAGCAUGCUCACGAGCUUCCUCCCAUUCCAGUCAAACAGCAUGGAAUGUUUCCCAGCAUUUCUUCCCCCACAUUGUGUUUCUUUUCCUCACAGCUGUCAAUUCCAGUGUUCUCUGGGAGUAGCUAAAUUACUGGGCCUCACAACUUACAGUCUCAUCUCCAUGAAAGAGAAAGGGAGUUGGGGAGAUGGCACAGCAGGUGAAGUAGUUGUCGUACAAGCCUGAGGACCAGUGUUUGGAUCCCUAGAGCCCACACAAAUGCUGGGUCUGCUUGUGUCUAGCCUGGGCUUGUUUGUGUCUGGCGUAGGUCUGUUUGUAUCUAGCCUGGGCCUGUUUGUGUCCAGCCUGUGCCUGCUUGUUUUGUGUCUAGCCUGGGCCUGUAGGUCUGCUUGUGUCCAGGCUGCAAUCCCAGCACUGGAGAGGCAGAAUGGGAUCACCUGAGCAGACUGGUGAGGGAGGCUAAUUGAACCUGAGAGUUCCGGGCUCAAGUGAGAUCUGGCCUCAUAUACACGACUGAGCGCUUCUGAAGAAGACACCACAUAUACCACUCUGGCAGCCACACACACAUUUGCAUGUGCGUAUGCAUCAGUACACGUGUGUUCCCCCACCGUGUGAACAGGCACAUACAUAUGUAUACCCCCCAAAAAUUAAUAGUAACUUUCAGUCGUUUGGUUAAGUUUCUGCUGGCCAGGUUCCUCUCAUUAUAGAUGAAGCGCUUCUCCCAAUAUACUGUGGUUGACUCUGAUGGUGAAUGAUCUUUUUCUUGUCAGUAUUUUAACCCCAUGGUCUGAGAGGCCAUGGAUGAUCCUUUCCUAUGUGUUGUGUGUAGGUGGUUGGAAAGCAGUGAUUCACUAACUCUCAAUCCCUCCACAGCCAUCACCUACUAAUUUUCUUUGGUUUGUUUGCUGCGUGGGACAGGGCCCACCUUUAAUGCCAGGAUUCUGGGAGGCAGAGGCAGGCCAAUCUCUGUGAGUCUGAAGCCAUCCUACUCUAUAUAACGGGUUCUACGCCAGCCAGGAUUACAUAGUAAGACCCUGUCUCCAUGUAAGAACAAGAACGGCGUCUCCCCACCCUUCUCUCUUUUUAGUACUUUUGUAAAUUUUUGGGCUGCUUUCACAGUUUCGGUAUAUCAGCACAAAGAAGGAUCAUGCACAAAGCUCUCUGCUCCAGCAUCUCUCACUUCCGUACAAAGCUAUACACGCACAGUUUCAGGAAUGCAAUAACUCAUACAAGGGAGUACUCGUAGGGCGUUAAGGGGGAACUCAGAGGAUCUGGAGAGCCACUUGUGCUGCUGUGACAUCAGCUUCUGAGGACGGGAAUGCAGCAUCCCAUCCAUGGGCUACAGCGUAGUUUACCAAUACGCCCGUCAGCAGAAGAGAUGUCUGAAGGGACCCCUUAAUUUGGCACAGCAAGUGUUAUCUAUUUUUGCACCAAUGAACCACAUCUUGACACUAGACUCAGUGAUGUACUUUGAAAAGAAUGUAUAGGUCACGACCAGUGUGGCUGUCUGAGAAAGACUGUGGCUAUAUUUUACAGGAACAGCCCAGGAGAGGAUCAUAUUUUCCAUGCUUUCCUCCACAGAUGUCUCCGUAUUUUUGUUUUUGCUUUUUCUUUUUUUUUUAAGAGGAUCGUAGCAUAGAUUCAACUAUAUUUCAUCACUCGUCAAAGAAAUCAGACCAAGUUCAGAAUCAGAGACGCAGAGACCAGGUGCUCUGGCAUUCUGGCUUUGGUUUUUUCUUCGUUCAUGCAGUCACAUUGCCGUGGGCCUGUGUGAGGAGAGCAGCGAUCCUGUGACCACCGCUGCCUGCUCCUGUGUCUGCCGCCACCGUGGAGGGGCUAGGUGGUCGGGAAGGGCGAGGAAUAGUCUCUCCCAGCUCUCAGUGAACUGCGUGCCAUCAACGCCACCAAGUCCAGUGUCCUCCCGAUAGACAUCUACCUAGCGAAGGUUGCAAGUUGAUCAUAUAAGAUGAAAUCUAUUUAUCACUGCCGGGGUUUGACCCAGUGAUGGCACUGUUAGUACCCAAACGUCAUACAACAAAGAACACACUUCUAAGUCAUUGGCCGAAAGAGGGCUUGAUGAGUUCUCAGUUAAUUUUUAUUCAAGUAUUUAUGAUCAGUGCUUUCCAAAAUAAAAAAAAAAAGUCAUUUUAUAUCAUUGUAUAGGAUACUCUUCUUAACUGUGUAGAGACAUGGUUUGGGUUAAAUUAUUGCACGUUUAUGUUCAUUUCCUAUUGUCUUUCCCCACUAUGGUAUUAGAACACGGAUUUAACACUUGUUUUUUGGUUGUUGUUGUUGUUUUGACAUGUGUGAUUUGUGCUUUUUUCUUGCUAAUUCCAGUUUAUUGAAAUCCUUAACAAACUUCUCCUCAUGCCUCGUUGUUCUGUGAACCAGACCUCAUAAAUACAUCACCUGACGUCUCGCAGGCAGAUGCUUGAUAACGUGAAGAAACGCAUUCCCGCUGCUCAGUGCUCCUAUGCUGGGAACACGAGGAUUCUACUCAGCUGCGAUUCCAACAGACUAGGGGACUGCAAUGUCACUGCGGUUAACAGCAAAACAUCGCUAUGACAUUAUCAAAGAAAUAAAAAAAAUUAUU